CUAGCCAUUUCAUCCUUUGCCACCCCCUCCUCCUUUUGCUUACACUCUUUCCCGGCAUCGGGGUCUUUUCCAACGUCCUGAUACCUGCCCUGAAAUAUAACUCCUCCCCAUCUUCUCUUCUGUGUGUGAAAUACAUCGAUAGCAUUGCUGAAAGUACUGAAAGCUUCACUUCAUUAACUCUCAUAAAUAAGGACAUGAGCAAACUCAAAACCCAUGACUGUCAUUUGAAAUUGGGUGCAAAACCCACCUUCAGCUGAAAUGCCUCCAUUAGCAUGGCACUGUUCCUGGAAUCAGGCAGAAGGACAGAGCAGUCCUCCAAAUGAGCUCACAGAUCAGAGGGAGCAGAGGCUGGAGAAAGGGUCACAUGGUGUUUCCAGGGGCAGGUUUCCUCUUUGGACACCAGGAUUUGGAGGGAUAGCCAUUACCAAUCAUGGGAGUGUGGCUGAUGAAAUUAAGGAAGACGUCUUUAAAUUCAAUUACACCCUCAGUGGAAAUGGUCUCACUAAUGCUUGCGGAGAGAAUUAUACCCAGUCCAUGAAGCCUAACAUUUCUAAACCCAAUUUUGCGAAUUAUUCUAAAGGUUAAUUCAAGAUCUCUCUUCCAAAUGGCAAGUUAAGGACAGCCAAUGGAAGGAAGGCGUCCUCGGACUGACUGAGGGGUUUAUCAGCCUGGAAGAGUUCAUUAGUUUUAAUUAGUGUAAUCACUAAUGUUGCAUUAACAGUUUAGUGAAGGAAAGUAAUUACUCACACAUCCACUGUAUAAGAUGGGAAGAUUAGAAUUCAUUUUCCAAAACGAUUAGCAUUUUGCCAAUUAAAAGAAUCCCUUCUCCCAGCCAGCGGCCCUGUGACCUCGCUCACCCUGAAGAUUGUGUGUGUAAAUGAAACAUAUUUUGCAUCAGGAGAAGGAGCAGGAAGAAAUGAAGGAUUAAGGCUGUGUUUAUUCUCAGCUCCUUCCCAGGGCACAGCAAGCGAGUGCAGGAGUCUCAGUGAGUUUAGGACGUAUUUGCAUAGUCAUUCACUCAGGAAUACACCGCUGGAGGCUUUGUUACCCUGCAGCAAUUAAACAGUGGGAAGGCCAGGGGAAGAUGAGGCCAGAAGGAAGGAAGGGGAGAGUCUGGCUGGAACGAUCAUGGCUCGAGUCCAGGGGUUGGACAAUUGCCAGGACUCCACUGUGGUCCCAUCUUGAGUGCACGCUCUACCGCUAGGCUUGGGGCAUCGCACUGCCCAAGGGGGCUCCCUAAAGCCCUUGGGCCCUCCUCCCAAUUGCCCCAAGUGCUGGGUGCCACCUCCGUGCCCACUCUUUGGCAGCAUGGUCCGAUGGUUCUCCCGCCCUGCUCCUCGCCAUCUCUGCCAGAUCCCCUAGCAACAGCCACUUGGAAUUUCUCAUUUCUUAAACAUCCCAUGUUCUUUCAGAUCCGGCUCCUUGGAACCUGCUACUCACAAACCUUUUGCCCGUUUUGUUAGAGCGUCACCCUUCCUGCUUCACCGAGGGUAGACAGCACUUCGCAUUGACCAGAACAGCUACUGCCCCCACUUUGCACGCUCAGAGCCCCUCCCGGCGUCCUGCAUCCUUGCACUGUGUUAUGUUAUACUAAUCACAGUGAACUGCUGAGACGGGAGCAGGGAUCAUACCCUGUUCAGUAUUCUCAGCCCUUGCCCAGGCGCUGCACGUGUCAGCUGGUGUAUACAUUUUCGUCAGAUGGCUUAAUGAUUGUGGACAGGUAUCAGCCCUCCCUACCUCCCCCUCAUCGGCCUUAUCAAAGCUCAGCCAAGGAAGCCCAGCGUGGUCGGAUCAAGGAACAUCACAGAGGAGGGAACCGAGACAUCUGCAUGCAGUAUGUGUCCAGCCGACAUGCCGUCACUCAGAGCGCCCCGGGGCCCAGCAGCUACGCCCCUCACCUCCCCGCGCACCACCACUGCCAG
Non-coding RNA from Odocoileus virginianus texanus, 1922 nucleotides. NCBI's taxonomy places the organism in Eukaryota, Metazoa, Chordata, Mammalia, Artiodactyla, Cervidae. The record is from RefSeq and is a predicted model, not a curated record.